This 89-nucleotide small RNA is filed under the name Arabidopsis thaliana (thale cress). RNAcentral describes it as "ATSL232920". Lineage: Eukaryota; Viridiplantae; Streptophyta; Magnoliopsida; Brassicales; Brassicaceae. The record is from RNAcentral.
UUUCUUUGUAAGCAGCCAUGGCUGAAGAGUUAAUCCUCUAAUUUGUCUGAGAAAAGGCGAAUCUGAGUCCUUUCCUGUGACAUGCAAAU